GACGAACGCUGGCGGCGUGCUUAACACAUGCAAGUCGAACGGAAAGGCCCUUCUGUUGUGGGGUGCUCGAGUGGCGAACGGGUAAGUAACAAGUAAGUAGCCUGCCCUUGACUUUGGGCUAACUUCAGGGAACUGGGGCUCAUACCGGAUAGGAGCUCCUGCUGCAUGGGGGGGGAUGGAAAGUUUCGGCGGUUGGGGAUGGACUCGCGGCUUAUCAGCUUGUUGGUGGGGUAGUGGCUUACCAAGGCUUUGACGGGUAGCCGGCCUGAGCGGGUGACCGGCCACAUUGGGACUGAGAUACGGCCCAGCCUCCUCGGGGAGGCAGAAGUGGGGAAUAUGGCACAAGGGGCGGAAGCUUGAGGCAGCAAGGCCGCGGGGGGGAGGACGGCCUUCGGUUUGUAAACCGCUUUCGCCGGUGACGAAGCGUGAGUGACGGUAAUGGGUAAAGAAGCACCGGCUAACUACGUG
RNAcentral lists this ribosomal RNA (468 nucleotides) under uncultured bacterium. RNAcentral describes it as "partial 16S ribosomal RNA". It matches the Rfam family "Bacterial small subunit ribosomal RNA", at positions 28 to 507 of the family's 1533-position model. The record is from RNAcentral.